AAGCCAUGAUGAGGGAAUUGGUUGGUAUAGCCCUUGAAACGCUCCCAUGCUUGACAAAAGCUUUCACCAGUCUUCUGUAAAAAGCCCGAGAUCUCAUUUCUGAGUCU
Molecule: non-coding RNA, 107 nt
Organism: Arabidopsis suecica
Lineage: Eukaryota; Viridiplantae; Streptophyta; Magnoliopsida; Brassicales; Brassicaceae
Source: the annotation of a GenBank genome assembly